GACUCAGUAAACAGGCUGUGCCGACUGCUGAAAUCAACAGCCCAGCGAGGCAGGGGCUCCAGGACCCAGUGAAGCCUCCUGCUAGUUUCCUGGGUUGCCAAGGAGACGAGCGCCCCUGCUGGCGGUGCCAAGGCUCCCCGAGGCCCCGCCUCUUCGCCGCAGGCGGUCGCUGAUUGGCCUGUUUGAAAUGCGCCGGGCGGGCGCACACUUGGGC
RNAcentral lists this long non-coding RNA (214 nucleotides) under Rattus norvegicus (Norway rat). RNAcentral describes it as "long non-coding RNA NONRATT033682". The record is from RNAcentral. Lineage: Eukaryota; Metazoa; Chordata; Mammalia; Rodentia; Muridae.